AACGAACGCUGGCGGCAUGCCUAACACAUGCAAGUCGAACGAGACCUUCGGGUCUAGUGGCGCACGGGUGCGUAACGCGUGGGAACCUGCCCUUAGGUUCGGAAUAACUCACCGAAAGGGGUGCUAAUACCGGAUAAUGUCUUCGGACCAAAGAUUUUUCGCCUUUGGAUGGGCCCGCGUUGGAUUAGCUAGUUGGUAGGGUAAAAGCCUACCAAGGCGACGAUCCAUAGCUGGUCUGAGAGGAUGAUCAGCCACACUGGGACUGAGACACGGCCCAGACUCCUACGGGAGGCAGCAGUGGGUAAUAUUGUACAAUGGGCGAAAGCCUAAUCCAGCAAUGCCGCGUGAGUGAUGAAGGCCUUAGGAUUGUAAAGCUCUUUUACCCGGGAUGAUAAUGACAGUACCGGGAGAAUAAGCUCCGGCUAACUCCGUG
Molecule: ribosomal RNA, 433 nt
Filed under: uncultured bacterium
Lineage: Bacteria
Description: partial 16S ribosomal RNA
Rfam family: Bacterial small subunit ribosomal RNA
Source: RNAcentral